This 117-nucleotide non-coding RNA is filed under the name Pan troglodytes (chimpanzee). Lineage: Eukaryota; Metazoa; Chordata; Mammalia; Primates; Hominidae. The record is from Rfam by way of RNAcentral.
GCCGGGCGUGGUGGCUCACGCCUGUAAUCCCAGCCCUUUGGGAGGCGGAGGUGGGUGGAUCAUCUGAGGUCAGGAGUUCAAGACCAGCCUGGCCAAUAUGGUGAAACCCCAUCUCUA